Molecule: ribosomal RNA, 497 nt
Filed under: uncultured bacterium
Lineage: Bacteria
Description: partial 16S ribosomal RNA
Rfam family: Bacterial small subunit ribosomal RNA
Source: RNAcentral
GAUGAACGCUGGCGGCGUGCCUAAUACAUGCAAGUCGAGCGAACGGACGAGAAGCUUGCUUUUCUGAUGUUAGCGGCGGACGGGUGAGUAACACGUGGAUAACCUACCUAUAAGACUGUGAUAACUUCGGGAAACCGGAGCUAAUACCGGAUAAUAUUUUGAACCGCAUGGUUCAAAAGUGAAAGACGGUCUUGCUGUCACUUAUAGAUGGAUCCGCGCUGCAUUAGCUAGUUGGUAAGGUAACGGCUUACCAAGGCAACGAUGCAUAGCCGACCUGAGAGGGUGAUCGGCCACACUGGAACUGAGACACGGUCCAGACUCCUACGGGAGGCAGCAGUAGGGAAUCUGCCGCAGUGGGCGAAAGCCUGACGGAGCAACGCCGCGUGAGUGAUGAAGGUCUUCGGAUCGUAAAACUCUGUUAUUAGGGAAGAACAUAUGUGUAAGUAACUGUGCACAUCUUGACGGUACCUAAUCAGAAAGCCACGGCUAACUACGUG